This 529-nucleotide ribosomal RNA is filed under the name Wilsonomyces carpophilus. RNAcentral's name for it is "eukaryotic LSU rRNA". The stretch from base 156 to 309 matches the Rfam family "5.8S ribosomal RNA". The record is from RNAcentral. Lineage: Eukaryota; Fungi; Ascomycota; Dothideomycetes.
CGGAAGGAUCAUUACUGAGAGUACCGGGCUCUGCCUGGCUACUUUUACCCAUGUUUUUAGAGUACCAAAAGUUUCCUCGGCGGCUCUGCCCGCCGGUCGGACUCCAUUCAAACCCUUUGCAGUUGCAGUCAGCGUCUGAUAAACAAAAUAAUUACAACUUUCAACAACGGAUCUCUUGGUUCUGGCAUCGAUGAAGAACGCAGCGAAAUGCGAUAAGUAGUGUGAAUUGCAGAAUUCAGUGAAUCAUCGAAUCUUUGAACGCACAUUGCACCUCUCGGUAUUCCGGGAGGUAUGCCUGUUCGAGCGUCAUUUGUACCCUCAAGCUCUGCUUGGUGUUGGGUGUUUGUUCCGCCUUUGCGUGUGAACUCGCCCUAAAACAAUUGGCAGCCGGCGUACUUGUUUCGGAGCGCAGCACAUUUUGCGUUCAGAUCAGUGUACACUGGCACCCAAGAAGCCUUAUUUUAACGCUCUUGACCUCGGAUCAGGUAGGGAUACCCGCUGAACUUAAGCAUAUCAAUAAGCGGAGGAA